ACGGGAGGCAGCAGUGAGGAAUAUUGGUCAAUGGGCGGAAGCCUGAUCCAGCCAUGCCGCGUGAAGGCAGACGGUCCUAUGGAUUGUAAACUUCUUUUGUACGGGAACAAUAAGGGUCACGUGUGGCCUGAUGAGAGUACCGUACGAAUAAGCAUCGGCUAACUCCGUGCCAGCAGCCGCGGUAAUACGGAGGAUGCGAGCGUUAUCCGGAUUUAUUGGGUUUAAAGGGUGCGUAGGCGGAAUGGUAAGUCAGCGGUGAAACGCGGGUGCUCACCCCCUGCCCUGCCGUUGAAACUGUCGUUCUUGAAUGCGGAUGCUGUGGGAGGAAUGUGUGGUGUAGCGGUGAAAUGCAUAGAUAUCACACAGAACACCGAUUGCGAAGGCAUCUCACAAAUCCGUAAUUGACGCUGAGGCACGAAAGUGCGGGGAUCGAACAGGAUUAGAUACCCUGGUA
Molecule: ribosomal RNA, 454 nt
Filed under: uncultured Porphyromonas sp.
Lineage: Bacteria; Pseudomonadati; Bacteroidota; Bacteroidia; Bacteroidales; Porphyromonadaceae
Description: partial 16S ribosomal RNA
Rfam family: Bacterial small subunit ribosomal RNA
Source: RNAcentral